AUGUUCCAAUGCAGAGAACAUAAACCAUAUACUGGUCAUUCAUCCAUUAUCCCAGAACAUAAACCAUAUACUGGUCAUUCAUCCAUUAUCCCAGAACAUAAACCAUAUACUGGUCAUUCAUCCAUUAUCCCAGAACAUAAACCAUAUACUGGUCAUUCAUCCAUUAUCCCAGAACAUAAACCAUAUACUGGUCAUUCAUCCAUUAUCCCAGAACAUAAACCAUAUACUGUUCAUUCAUCCAUUAUCCCAGAACAUAAACCAUAUACUGGUCAUUCAUCCAUUAUCCCAGAACAUAAACCAUAUACUGGUCAUUCAUCCAUUAUCCCAGAACAUAAACCAUAUACUGUUCAUUCAUCCAUUAUCCCAGAACAUAAACCAUAUACUGUUCAUUCAUCCAUUAUCCCAGAACAUAAACCAUAUACUGUUCAUUCAUCCAUUAUCCCAGAACAUAAACCAUAUACUGUUCAUUCAUCCAUUAUCCCAGAACAUAAACCAUAUACUGGUCAUUCAUCCAUUAUCCCAGAACAUAAACCAUAUACUGGUCAUUCAUCCAUUAUCCCAGAACAUAAACCAUAUACUGUUCAUUCAUCCAUUAUCCCAGAACAUAAACCAUACAAACAUACUUGGCAUUCAUCCAUUAUCCCAGAACAUAAACCCUACAAACAUACUUGGCAUCCAUCCAUUAUCCCAGAACAUAAACCAUACAAACAUACUUGUCAUUCAUCCAUUAUCCCAGAACAUAAACCAUAUACUGUUCAUUCAUCCAUUAUCCCAGAACAUAAACCAUAUACUGUUCAUUCAUCCAUUAUCCCAGAACAUAAACCAUACAAACAUACUUGGCAUUCAUCCAUUAUCCCAGAACAUAAACCCUACAAACAUACUUGGCAUCCAUCCAUUAUCCCAGAACAUAAACCAUACAAACAUACUUGGCAUUCAUCCAUUAUCCCAGAACAUAAACCCUACAAACAUACUUGGCAUCCAUCCAUUAUCCCAGAACAUAAACCAUACAAACAUACUUGUCAUUCAUCCAUUAUCCCAGAACAUAAACCAUAUACUGUUCAUUCAUCCAUUAUCCCAGAACAUAAACCAUACAAACAUACUUGGCAUUCAUCCAUUAUCCCAGAACAUAAACCGUACAAACAUACUUGUCAUUCAUCCAUUAUCCCAGAACAUAAACCAUACAAACAUACUUGUCAUUCAUCCAUUAUCCCAGAACAUAAACCAUAUACUGUUCAUUCAUCCAUUAUCCCAGAACAUAAACCAUACAAACAUACUUGGCAUUCAUCCAUUAUCCCAGAACAUAAACCAUACAAACAUACUUGGCAUUCAUCCAUUAUCCCAGAACAUAAACCGUACAAACAUACUUGUCAUUCAUCCAUUAUCCCAGAACAUAAACCCUACAAACAUACUUGUCAUUCAUCCAUUAUCCCAGAACAUAAACCGUACAAACAUACUUGGCAUUCAUCCAUUAUCCCAGAACAUAAACCACAUACUGGUCAUUCAUCCAUUAUCCCAGGCCUGUGGGGUUGUGUAUUAAGGAAGAGAAGGCUGUUAAAAUCAGGCGCUCCGUAG
Molecule: long non-coding RNA, 1572 nt
Organism: Oncorhynchus mykiss (rainbow trout)
Lineage: Eukaryota; Metazoa; Chordata; Actinopteri; Salmoniformes; Salmonidae
Source: Ensembl